GCNACCCCAGGUCAGGCGGNAUUACCCGCUGAGUUUAAGCAUAUC
This 45-nucleotide ribosomal RNA is filed under the name Euphorbia stenoclada. RNAcentral describes it as "partial large subunit ribosomal RNA". Lineage: Eukaryota; Viridiplantae; Streptophyta; Magnoliopsida; Malpighiales; Euphorbiaceae. The record is from RNAcentral.